CCUACGGGAGGCAGCAGUAGGGAAUUUUCGGCAAUGGGGGGAACCCUGACCGAGCAACGCCGCGUGAACGAAGAAGUUAUUCGUAAUGUAAAGUUCUUUUAACAGGGAAGAAAGAGAAAUUUGACGGUACCUGAAGAAUAAGCUCCGGCUAACUACGUGCCAGCAGCCGCGGUAAUACGUAGGGAGCGAGCGUUAUCGGGAAUUAUUGGCCGUAAAGGGUGCGUAGAUGGCAUAGUAAGUCUGUUGUAAAAAUGCUGGGCUCAACCCAGUAGGGCAAAAGAUACUGCAAAGCUAGAGUAUGACAGAGGCAAGUGGAACUAGAUGUGUAGCGGUAAAAUGCGUAGAUAUAUGUAAGAACACCAGUGGCGAAGGCGGCUUGCUGGGUCGAUACUGACAUUGAGGCACGAAAGCGUGGGGAGCAAACAGGAUUAGAUACCCGGGUAGUC
This 446-nucleotide ribosomal RNA is filed under the name uncultured bacterium. Its description in RNAcentral is "partial 16S ribosomal RNA". It matches the Rfam family "Bacterial small subunit ribosomal RNA", at positions 338 to 795 of the family's 1533-position model. The record is from RNAcentral.